This 1419-nucleotide ribosomal RNA is filed under the name Klebsiella pneumoniae. Its description in RNAcentral is "bacterial LSU rRNA". It matches the Rfam family "Bacterial large subunit ribosomal RNA", at positions 1531 to 2925 of the family's 2925-position model. The record is from RNAcentral. RNAcentral also lists the same sequence under 2 other names. Lineage: Bacteria; Pseudomonadati; Pseudomonadota; Gammaproteobacteria; Enterobacterales; Enterobacteriaceae.
UCCAGGCAAAUCCGGAUAAUCAAGGCUGAGGUGUGAUGACGAGGCACUACGGUGCUGAAGUAACAAAUGCCCUGCUUCCAGGAAAAGCCUCUAAGCAUCAGGUAACAUCAAAUCGUACCCCAAACCGACACAGGUGGUCAGGUAGAGAAUACCAAGGCGCUUGAGAGAACUCGGGUGAAGGAACUAGGCAAAAUGGUGCCGUAACUUCGGGAGAAGGCACGCUGGUGUGUAGGUGAAGUCCCUGCGGAUGGAGCUGAGACCAGUCGAAGAUACCAGCUGGCUGCAACUGUUUAUUAAAAACACAGCACUGUGCAAACACGAAAGUGGACGUAUACGGUGUGACGCCUGCCCGGUGCCGGAAGGUUAAUUGAUGGGGUUAUCCGUAAGGAGAAGCUCUUGAUCGAAGCCCCGGUAAACGGCGGCCGUAACUAUAACGGUCCUAAGGUAGCGAAAUUCCUUGUCGGGUAAGUUCCGACCUGCACGAAUGGCGUAAUGAUGGCCAGGCUGUCUCCACCCGAGACUCAGUGAAAUUGAACUCGCUGUGAAGAUGCAGUGUACCCGCGGCAAGACGGAAAGACCCCGUGAACCUUUACUAUAGCUUGACACUGAACAUUGAGCCUUGAUGUGUAGGAUAGGUGGGAGGCUUUGAAGCGUGGACGCCAGUCUGCGUGGAGCCAACCUUGAAAUACCACCCUUUAAUGUUUGAUGUUCUAACGUUGGCCCCUGACCGGGGUUGCGGACAGUGUCUGGUGGGUAGUUUGACUGGGGCGGUCUCCUCCCAAAGCGUAACGGAGGAGCACGAAGGUUAGCUAAUCCUGGUCGGACAUCAGGAGGUUAGUGCAAUGGCAUAAGCUAGCUUGACUGCGAGCGUGACGGCGCGAGCAGGUGCGAAAGCAGGUCAUAGUGAUCCGGUGGUUCUGAAUGGAAGGGCCAUCGCUCAACGGAUAAAAGGUACUCCGGGGAUAACAGGCUGAUACCGCCCAAGAGUUCAUAUCGACGGCGGUGUUUGGCACCUCGAUGUCGGCUCAUCACAUCCUGGGGCUGAAGUAGGUCCCAAGGGUAUGGCUGUUCGCCAUUUAAAGUGGUACGCGAGCUGGGUUUAGAACGUCGUGAGACAGUUCGGUCCCUAUCUGCCGUGGGCGCUGGAGAAUUGAGGGGGGCUGCUCCUAGUACGAGAGGACCGGAGUGGACGCAUCACUGGUGUUCGGGUUGUCAUGCCAAUGGCACUGCCCGGUAGCUAAAUGCGGAAGAGAUAAGUGCUGAAAGCAUCUAAGCACGAAACUUGCCCCGAGAUGAGUUCUCCCUGAGACUUUAAGUCUCCUGAAGGAACGUUGAAGACGACGACGUUGAUAGGCCGGGUGUGUAAGCGCAGCGAUGCGUUGAGCUAACCGGUACUAAUGAACCGUGAGGCUUAACCUU